RNAcentral lists this ribosomal RNA (224 nucleotides) under uncultured bacterium. RNAcentral's name for it is "partial 16S ribosomal RNA". It matches the Rfam family "Bacterial small subunit ribosomal RNA", at positions 1268 to 1500 of the family's 1533-position model. The record is from RNAcentral.
CGAAUCUCGAAAGCCUGUCUCAGUUCGGAUUGGAGGCUGAAACCCGCCUCCAUGAAGUUGGAUUCGCUAGUAAUCGCGCAUCAGCCAUGGCGCGGUGAAUACGUUCCCGGGCCUUGUACACACCGCCCGUCAAGCCAUGGGAGCCGGGGGUGCCUGAAGUUCGUGACCGCAAGGAGCGACCUAGGGCAAAACUGGUGACUGGGGCUAAGUCGUAACAAGGUAAC